AACCCGCCCACAUGAAGUCGGAGUUGCUAGUAAUCGCGGAUCAGCAUGCCGCGGUGAAUACGUUCCCGGGCCUUGUACACACCGCCCGUCACACCAUGGGAGUUGGGAGUGCCCAAAGCCGGUGAGGCAACCGAAAGGAGCCAGCCGUCUAAGGCAAGACCAAUGACUGGGGUGAAGUCGUAACAAGGUAGC
This 192-nucleotide ribosomal RNA is filed under the name uncultured bacterium. RNAcentral's name for it is "partial 16S ribosomal RNA". It matches the Rfam family "Bacterial small subunit ribosomal RNA", at positions 1309 to 1500 of the family's 1533-position model. The record is from RNAcentral.